GGGGAUUUAGCUCAGUUGUAGAGCGCUUGCCUAGCAAGCGCAAGGCCCUGGGUUCAGUCCCCA
Molecule: non-coding RNA, 63 nt
Organism: Rattus norvegicus (Norway rat)
Lineage: Eukaryota; Metazoa; Chordata; Mammalia; Rodentia; Muridae
Source: Rfam